CCUACGGGGCGCAGCAGUGGGGAAUAUUGGACAAUGGGCGAAAGCCUGAUCCAGCCAUGCCGCGUGUGUGAAGAAGGCCUUCGGGUUGUAAAGCACUUUCAGUGGGGAAGAAAGCCUUGGGGCUAAUACCCUCGAGGAAGGACAUCACCCACAGAAGAAGCACCGGCUAACUCCGUGCCAGCAGCCGCGGUAAUACGGAGGGUGCGAGCGUUAAUCGGAAUUACUGGGCGUAAAGCGCGCGUAGGCGGUCUGAUAAGCCGGUUGUGAAAGCCCCGGGCACAACCUGGGAACGGCAUCCGGAACUGUCAGGCUAGAGUGCAGGAGAGGAAGGUAGAAUUCCCGGUGUAGCGGUGAAAUGCGUAGAGAUCGGGAGGAAUACCAGUGGCGAAGGCGGCCUUCUGGACUGACACUGACGCUGAGGUGCGAAAGCGUGGGUAGCAAACAGGAUUAGAUACCCCGGUAGUC
This 465-nucleotide ribosomal RNA is filed under the name Vreelandella stevensii. RNAcentral's name for it is "partial 16S ribosomal RNA". It matches the Rfam family "Bacterial small subunit ribosomal RNA", at positions 338 to 795 of the family's 1533-position model. The record is from RNAcentral. Lineage: Bacteria; Pseudomonadati; Pseudomonadota; Gammaproteobacteria; Oceanospirillales; Halomonadaceae.